This is a non-coding RNA of Gasterosteus aculeatus (three-spined stickleback), 203 nucleotides long. Lineage: Eukaryota; Metazoa; Chordata; Actinopteri; Perciformes; Gasterosteidae. The record is from Rfam.
AACACGCUCCUUAGAUCCACCUCUGGAGGAUGCUGUUCUCUGAGCAGUGCUCCUCAGCAGCUUGCUGGCUGUACAGUUGGAGGUGCUUGAGUCAUUGGCGUGUGAGAACAGUCUACCUGUCCUUCAGCCCACCCGCAGCACUGGCAACCCUGUCCUCUACAGGCAGGGAGCUCCUGGUGCUGCAAGCCUGGGGGACAGACAUG